ACGGCAUUUCGAACUGUCAGGCUAGAGUAUGGUAGAGGGUAGUGGAAUUUCCUGUGUAGCGGUGAAAAUGCGUAGAUAUAGGAAGGAACACCAGUGGCGAAGGCGGCUACCUGGACCAAUACUGACACUGAGGUGCGGAAGCGUGGGGAGCAAACAGGAUUAGAUACCCUGGUAGUCCACGCCGUAAACGAUGUCUACUAGCCGUUGGGACUCUUGAAGUCUUAGUGGCGCAGCUAACGCACUAAGUAGACCGCCUGGGGAGUACGGCCGCAAGGUUAAAACUCAAAUGAAUUGACGGGGGCCCGCACAAGCGGUGGAGCAUGUGGUUUAAUUCGACGCAACGCGAAGAACCUUACCUGGCCUUGACAUGCAGAGAACUUUCCAGAGAUGGAUUGGUGCCUUCGGGAACUCUGACACAGGUGCUGCAUGGCCGUCGUCAGCUCGUGUCGUGAGAUGUUGGGUUAAGUCCCGUAACGAGCGCAACCCCUAUCCCUAGUUGCUAGCAGUUCGGCUGAGAACUCUAGGGAGACUGCCGGUGACAAACCGGAGGAAGGUGGGGAUGACGUCAGGUCAUCAUGGCCCUUACGGCCAGGGCUACACACGUGCUACAAUGGUGCGCACAGAGGGCUGCAAACCCGCGAGGGGGAGCCAAUCUCACAAAACGCAUCGUAGUCCGGAUCGCAGUCUGCAACUCGACUGCGUGAAGUCGGAAUCGCUAGUAAUCGUGAAUCAGAAUGUCACGGUGAAUACGUUCCCGGGCCUUGUACACACCGCCCGUCACACCAUGGGAGUGGAUUGCACCAGAAGUGGUUAGUC
This 816-nucleotide ribosomal RNA is filed under the name marine bacterium enrichment culture clone I04-E2-S3. RNAcentral describes it as "bacterial SSU rRNA". It matches the Rfam family "Bacterial small subunit ribosomal RNA", at positions 620 to 1435 of the family's 1533-position model. The record is from RNAcentral.